GACGAACGCUGGCGGCGUGCUUAACACAUGCAAGUCGAACGAAAAGAGGGAAAGAGCUUGCUCUUUCCGGAAUUGAGUGGCAAACGGGUGAGUAACACGUAAACAACCUGCCUUCAGGAUGGGGACAACAGACGGAAACGACUGCUAAUACCGAAUAAGUUCCAAGGGCCGCGUGGCCCAUGGAAGAAAAGGUGGCCUCUACCUGUAAGCUAUCGCCUGAAGAGGGGUUUGCGUCUGAUUAGCUGGUUGGAGGGGUAACGGCCCACCAAGGCGACGAUCAGUAGCCGGUCUGAGAGGAUGAACGGCCACACUGGAAUUGAGACACGGUCCAGACUCCUACGGGAGGAAGCAGUGGGGAAUCUUCCGCAAUGGGCGAAAGCCUGACGGAGCAACGCCGCGUGAGUGAUGACGGCCUUCGGGUUGUAAAACUCUGUGAUCCGGGACGAAAAGGCAGAGUGCGAAGAACAAACUGCAUUGACGGUACCGGAAAAGCAAGCCACGGCUAACUACGU
This 512-nucleotide ribosomal RNA is filed under the name uncultured bacterium. RNAcentral's name for it is "partial 16S ribosomal RNA". It matches the Rfam family "Bacterial small subunit ribosomal RNA", at positions 28 to 506 of the family's 1533-position model. The record is from RNAcentral.